CCGCGUUGGUGAUCUGCUCCGGAGAGUGGGAUCGCAGGUCGAAAGGACUGGUAAUACCGCAUUCCGUUUUAGGGAUUAGAGGCCUAAAAACGAAAGGAGCAAUUCGCUCCGGGAGGGACCUGCGUCCCAUCAGCUAGUUGGUGAGGUAACGGCCCACCAAGGCGAUGACGGGUAGGGGACCUGAGAGGGUGGCCCCCCACAAUGGAACUGAAACACGGUCCAUACACCUACGGGUGGCAGCAGUAGGGAAUAUUGCAUAAUGGGCGAAAGCCUGAUGCAGCAACGCCGCGUGUGCGAUGAAGGCCUUCGGGUCGUAAAGCACUUUUAGCAGGGAUGAGGAAGGACAGUACCUGCUGAAUAAGCCUCGGCUAACUACGUGCCAGCAGCGC
This 389-nucleotide ribosomal RNA is filed under the name uncultured bacterium. RNAcentral's name for it is "bacterial SSU rRNA". It matches the Rfam family "Bacterial small subunit ribosomal RNA", at positions 113 to 518 of the family's 1533-position model. The record is from RNAcentral.